This 464-nucleotide ribosomal RNA is filed under the name Vreelandella stevensii. RNAcentral describes it as "partial 16S ribosomal RNA". It matches the Rfam family "Bacterial small subunit ribosomal RNA", at positions 338 to 795 of the family's 1533-position model. Lineage: Bacteria; Pseudomonadati; Pseudomonadota; Gammaproteobacteria; Oceanospirillales; Halomonadaceae. The record is from RNAcentral.
CCUACGGGUGCUGCAGUGGGGAAUAUUGGACAAUGGGCGAAAGCCUGAUCCAGCCAUGCCGCGUGUGUGAAGAAGGCCUUCGGGUUGUAAAGCACUUUCAGUGGGGAAGAAAGCCUUGGGGCUAAUACCCUCGAGGAAGGACAUCACCCACAGAAGAAGCACCGGCUAACUCCGUGCCAGCAGCCGCGGUAAUACGGAGGGUGCGAGCGUUAAUCGGAAUUACUGGGCGUAAAGCGCGCGUAGGCGGUCUGAUAAGCCGGUUGUGAAAGCCCCGGGCUCAACCUGGGAACGGCAUCCGGAACUGUCAGGCUAGAGUGCAGGAGAGGAAGGUAGAAUUCCCGGUGUAGCGGUGAAAUGCGUAGAGAUCGGGAGGAAUACCAGUGGCGAAGGCGGCCUUCUGGACUGACACUGACGCUGAGGUGCGAAAGCGUGGGUAGCAAACAGGAUUAGAUACCCCGGUAGUC